Molecule: ribosomal RNA, 253 nt
Filed under: uncultured bacterium
Lineage: Bacteria
Description: partial 16S ribosomal RNA
Rfam family: Bacterial small subunit ribosomal RNA
Source: RNAcentral
UACGUAGGGUCCGAGCGUUGUCCGGAAUUAUUGGGCGUAAAGAGCUCGUAGGUGGUGUGUCGCGUCGGAUGUGAAAGCCCGGGGCUUAACCCCGGGUCUGCAUUCGGUACGGGCAUGCUGGAGUUCGGUAGGGGAGACUGGAAUUCCUGGUGUAGCGGUGAAAUGCGCAGAUAUCAGGAGGAACACCGGUGGCGAAGGCGGGUCUCUGGGCCGAUACUGACACUGAGGAGCGAAAGCGUGGGGAGCGAACAGG